GACGAACGCUGGCGGCGUGCUUAACACAUGCAAGUCGAACGGAAAGGCCCUGCUUUUGUGGGGUGCUCGAGUGGCGAACGGGUGAGUAACACGUGAGUAACCUGCCCUUGACUUUGGGAUAACUUCAGGAAACUGGGGCUAAUACCGGAUAGGAGCUCCUGCUGCAUGGUGGGGGUUGGAAAGUUUCGGCGGUUGGGGAUGGACUCGCGGCUUAUCAGCUUGUUGGUGGAGUAGUGGCUUACCAAGGCUUUGACGGGUAGCCGGCCUGAGAGGGUGACCGGCCACAUUGGGACUAAGAUACGGCCCAGACUCCUACGGGAGGCAGCAGUGGGGAAUAUUGCACAAUGGGCGGAAGCCUGAUGCAGCAACGCCGCGUGCGGGAUGACGGCCUUCGGGUUGUAAACCGCUUUCGCCUGUGACGAAGCGUGAGUGACGGUAAUGGGUAAAGAAGCACCGGCUAACUACGUG
RNAcentral lists this ribosomal RNA (468 nucleotides) under uncultured bacterium. RNAcentral describes it as "partial 16S ribosomal RNA". It matches the Rfam family "Bacterial small subunit ribosomal RNA", at positions 28 to 507 of the family's 1533-position model. The record is from RNAcentral.